This 316-nucleotide ribosomal RNA is filed under the name Vibrio vulnificus. Its description in RNAcentral is "bacterial SSU rRNA". It matches the Rfam family "Bacterial small subunit ribosomal RNA", at positions 1 to 312 of the family's 1533-position model. The record is from RNAcentral. Lineage: Bacteria; Pseudomonadati; Pseudomonadota; Gammaproteobacteria; Vibrionales; Vibrionaceae.
UUAAUUGAAGAGUUUGAUCAUGGCUCAGAUUGAACGCUGGCGGCAGGCCUAACACAUGCAAGUCGAGCGGCAGCACAGAGAAACUUGUUUCUCGGGUGGCGAGCGGCGGACGGGUGAGUAAUGCCUGGGAAAUUGCCCUGAUGUGGGGGAUAACCAUUGGAAACGAUGGCUAAUACCGCAUGAUAGCUACGGCUCAAAGAGGGGGACCUUCGGGCCUCUCGCGUCAGGAUAUGCCCAGGUGGGAUUAGCUAGUUGGUGAGGUAAGGGCUCACCAAGGCGACGAUCCCUAGCUGGUCUGAGAGGAUGAUCAGCCACA